This 633-nucleotide long non-coding RNA is filed under the name Brachypodium distachyon (stiff brome). RNAcentral describes it as "long non-coding RNA (BDIS_LNC000776)". Lineage: Eukaryota; Viridiplantae; Streptophyta; Magnoliopsida; Poales; Poaceae. The record is from RNAcentral.
UUGAACUGGUCUCUGUUAAGAGCCGUGUAGCCUAAAAAACAGUUCGACUGUACUGUGGUAUAGCCCUCUCUUGAUUCCAAAAAAAAAAAAUGUUGUUUCUGACUUUUCAUAGUGCAGUUUUCAGGAUCAAUCUUGAUUUCUUUUUAAUAGGAAUAAUUUUCUCUGUUACUACUUGCUCUCGUAAAUGAAUGUUCUUCAUUCCUCUCCUUAUUAUGAUUAGUGACUGGUCUCCUUGUUAUUUGUGUCAAGACAAAAAAAAGUUUAGUUGAUCCUUUAGGGCAUCCACAGUCUAUAGAGACAAUUUUGCCUCUAAGCUGGAACCUACACAGUGCCUCUAUUCUUAUCACCGAAUGCUGCAAUGUUAGCUCUCUUUUCACCUCUAAGCUGGAUCCCGUCAUGUAAUUAAAAACUAUUUUCACCGUCAAGUACUAGUCCUCCAACCCCACAUUUCCAACUCCCAAUUCUCUUUUUAUUUGUUAUCGAUUGUCUCCAGAUGAAGCGGCACUUCAUAAAUUCUUUGCUCGGAGGCACCCUCUUGCAGUGCUUGGAGGCAGCCUCUAAAGCUUAGAGGUGUUUAUAGAGGUGGUUAUUUUAAAGACUGUGGAUGCUCUUAUACUGUAUUUUUGCACACUA